RNAcentral lists this ribosomal RNA (429 nucleotides) under bacterium. RNAcentral's name for it is "partial 16S ribosomal RNA". It matches the Rfam family "Bacterial small subunit ribosomal RNA", at positions 355 to 776 of the family's 1533-position model. The record is from RNAcentral.
UAGGGAAUCUUCCACAAUGGACGCAAGUCUGAUGGAGCAACGCCGCGUGAGUGAAGAAGGUUUUCGGAUCGUAAAGCUCUGUUGUUGGUGAAGAAGGAUAGAGGCAGUAACUGGUCUUUAUUUGACGGUAAUCAACCAGAAAGUCACGGCUAACUACGUGCCAGCAGCCGCGGUAAUACGUAGGUGGCAAGCGUUGUCCGGAUUUAUUGGGCGUAAAGCGAGCGCAGGCGGAAUGAUAAGUCUGAUGUGAAAGCCCACGGCUCAACCGUGGAACUGCAUCGGAAACUGUCAUUCUUGGAUGCAGAAGAGGAGAGUGGAAUUCCAUGUGUAGCGGUGGAAUGCGUAGAUAUAUGGAAGAACACCAGUGGCGAAGGCGGCUCUCUGGUCUGCAACUGACGCUGAGGCUCGAAAGCAUGGGUAGCGAACAGG